GAUGAACGCUGGCGGCGUGCUUAACACAUGCAAGUCGAACGAUGAUGCCCAGCUUGCUGGGUGGAUUAGUGGCGAACGGGUGAGUAACACGCGAGUAACCUGCCCUUUACUCUGGGAUAAGCCUGGGAAAAUGGGUCUAAUACCGGAUACGACCAUCCGGCCCAUGUCAUGGUGGUGGGAAGCUUUUGUGGUUUUGGAUGGACUCGCGGCCUAUCAGCUUGUUGGUGGGGUAAUGGCCUACCAAGGCGACGACGGGUAGCCGGCCUGAGAGGGUGACCGGCCACACUGGGACUGAGACACGACCCAGACUCCUACAGGAGGCAGCAGUGCAGAAUAUUUCACAAUGGGCGCAAGCCUGAUGCAGCGACGCCGCGUGAGGGAUGACGGCCUUCGGGUUGUAAACCUCUUUCAGUAGGGAAGAAGCGAAAGUGACGGUACCUGCAGAAGAAGCGCCGGCUAACUACGUG
This 467-nucleotide ribosomal RNA is filed under the name uncultured bacterium. RNAcentral's name for it is "partial 16S ribosomal RNA". It matches the Rfam family "Bacterial small subunit ribosomal RNA", at positions 28 to 507 of the family's 1533-position model. The record is from RNAcentral.